CUAAUCUGCGAUAAGCGUCGGUAAGGUGAUAUGAACCGUUAUAACCGGCGAUUUCCGAAUGGGGAAACCCAGUGUGUUUCGACACACUAUCAUUAACUGAAUCCAUAGGUUAAUGAGGCGAACCGGGGGAACUGAAACAUCUAAGUACCCCGAGGAAAAGAAAUCAACCGAGAUUCCCCCAGUAGCGGCGAGCGAACGGGGAGCAGCCCAGAGCCUGAAUCAGUGUGUGUGUUAGUGGAAGCGUCUGGAAAGGCGCGCGAUACAGGGUGACAGCCCCGUACACAAAAAUGCACAUACUGUGAGCUCGAUGAGUAGGGCGGGACACGUGGUAUCCUGUCUGAAUAUGGGGGGACCAUCCUCCAAGGCUAAAUACUCCUGACUGACCGAUAGUGAACCAGUACCGUGAGGGAAAGGCGAAAAGAACCCCGGCGAGGGGAGUGAAAAAGAACCUGAAACCGUGUACGUACAAGCAGUGGGAGCACGCUUCGGCGUGUGACUGCGUACCUUUUGUAUAAUGGGUCAGCGACUUAUAUUCUGUAGCAAGGUUAACCGAAUAGGGGAGCCGAAGGGAAACCGAGUCUUAACUGGGCGUUAAGUUGCAGGGUAUAGACCCGAAACCCGGUGAUCUAGCCAUGGGCAGGUUGAAGGUUGGGUAACACUAACUGGAGGACCGAACCGACUAAUGUUGAAAAAUUAGCGGAUGACUUGUGGCUGGGGGUGAAAGGCCAAUCAAACCGGGAGAUAGCUGGUUCUCCCCGAAAGCU
RNAcentral lists this ribosomal RNA (764 nucleotides) under Escherichia coli. RNAcentral describes it as "bacterial LSU rRNA". It matches the Rfam family "Bacterial large subunit ribosomal RNA", at positions 61 to 867 of the family's 2925-position model. The record is from RNAcentral. Lineage: Bacteria; Pseudomonadati; Pseudomonadota; Gammaproteobacteria; Enterobacterales; Enterobacteriaceae.